This is a long non-coding RNA of Syzygium oleosum, 1281 nucleotides long. RefSeq lists it as uncharacterized. The transcript has 2 exons. NCBI's taxonomy places the organism in Eukaryota, Viridiplantae, Streptophyta, Magnoliopsida, Myrtales, Myrtaceae. The record is from RefSeq and is a predicted model, not a curated record.
CGUCCCGUGAUGCUCCCAAGAGCUCCCUGUUCUCCGGUCAAUGAUUCCGUCGCUGCUGCUCUUCGAAGCCCGACGUUCCCGAGAGCCUCUUCACUUCCGUUCGUCGAUCCCGCCGUAACAGCGCCAGACGGGAAAGCGGCGAGAGUGGCGCUUUCACCCAUCCUUGCAUUCUCAGACACGGCCAGUCGUUGGCUCUCCUCCUGGACGGCUAAUUGAUAGAUCCGGCCGAGUGGCGGCGCGGGUUCCAUUGCAAAUAUUUGCGACCGGAAGGAUGAAUAUGAUUCGUUGAGUAUGAUCCGGCCGCGACAUCGGGUGCUAGGCAAUUUCCGAUCCAAGUGCGAACCAGUUGGUUGCACCGUCGCCGGUGCCGUUGUAGUCGCUCAUCAGUCGGAAAGGGGACGGUUCCGUCGAGGAACCCGUCUUUAUCUUUUGUGACCAGGGCUCGCAGAAGGUCUCGGGCCCAGGCGGUGUAGUUGUCCGGUCCAGCAAGCUGCAAGCUUAUGAGUCGGAGUUCUGGUCCGUCCGCCGGCGAAGUGUACAGAGGGUCGCCGGGUUCUGGGCGGCCGCCGUUUGCUGGAAUCGCGUACAGGAAGAAUUCGGGUUGGAAAACCGGGUAGGGAUUCGCCCCUAGACUCGGAUAGGUGGAUUCAGGUCUGUGACCGUGACCCAUCCAACCCGAUCCACUGUUUUGGUUUGCUCCGGGAGUGGGAGGAACUGGCCCACUUGCAUUCGGCUGUGUUCCGAGUCCUGAAGUUUUAUCCUCUCCGGGUGGCACAUAUUGGGUCCAUGUUUGACUUGAUCCAGUUGGCCACUGGCUUUGAAUCGGAAUCCAUUGGAUUGCUGGCCAUUGGAUCGAGCCAGGAACUUGGACCGGAUUAGUGGGAGAUCCAUCAGAACGUCGCUCAGAAGCACGUUCUUCUUCAGUCAAAUUAAUUUGAUUCGAGGAUUCCUCCAUUGAAGGUUCGUGGAUUUCACCAGUGUUGAUAUCACCGGUGUUGGUGUUUUUGUCGUUUGUCAUGGUAUCAAGAAAUCGAAUUCCUUCCGGUAUUUCCGAUUUGUUUUGCAGGAUAUGAAUUGCAACAACAAACCAGAAAACAAGAAAACGGAGGCAAUUCUAAAAGAUGCGGAAGCUAGGCCAGGAUUGAAGGCUCUGAUACCAUGACAGAAACUAAAGAGAAUUGGGGGAAUUUUUGUAUUGUAUUAUGUUAAUUGUAAACAUGUACAUCCAUCUAUUUAUAAUGUACGAAAAGAGAAAAGAAUAGGAAAUAAUAUACAAGAGAU